RNAcentral lists this non-coding RNA (27 nucleotides) under Homo sapiens (human). Lineage: Eukaryota; Metazoa; Chordata; Mammalia; Primates; Hominidae. The record is from RNAcentral.
UCACCAAGAACUUUCAGAGGCCAUUGU